Non-coding RNA from Leptonychotes weddellii (Weddell seal), 8470 nucleotides. Lineage: Eukaryota; Metazoa; Chordata; Mammalia; Carnivora; Phocidae. The record is from RefSeq and is a predicted model, not a curated record.
ACCAGCCCGAGUCAUGCAGUCUUUUCGAGAAAGGUGUGGUUUCCAUGGCAAACAACAGAACUACCAGCAGACCUCACAGGAGACAUCGCGCCUGGAGAAUUACCGGCAGCCGAGCCAGGCCGGGCUGAGCUGCGACCGACAGCGGCUUCUGGCCAAGGACUACUACAGCCCGCAGCCCUACCCGGCCUACGAGGGCGGCGCCGGCACCGCCCCCGGCCCGGCGCGGGGCGGCAAGGGCCUGGCCUCGCAGCAGUCCCUGCAGGGCAGGCCGGCCUUCUCGGGCUACAGCGUGCAGGACAGCAGCGCGUACCCCGGCCGCUACUCGGGCGAGGAGAGCCUGCAGGCCUGGGGGGCCCCCCAGCCGCCGCCCCCGCAGCCGCAGCCCCUGCCGGGGGGCAUGGGCAAAUAUGACGACAGCUUGAUGAAAAAGGCGGCAGUGCCCCCUGGCAGGCAGUACCCGGAGCAGGGCGCCCAGCUGCCCUUCCGGACUCACUCGCUGCACGUCCAGCAGCAGCUGCCGCAGCCCCAGCAGCCCCAGCAGCCCCUGGCGUACCCCAAACUGCAAAGGCAGAAGCUGCAGAACGACAUGGCCUCGCCGCUGCCCUUCCCGCAGGGCGGCCACUUCCCCCAGCACUCCCAGUCUUUCCCCGCUUCCUCCAGCUACUCCUCCAGCGCCCAGGGCGCCCACUCCUACAAGAGCUGCACCGCGCCGUCCGCCCAGCCCCACGACCGGCCGCUGACGGCCAGCGCCAGCCUGGCGCCGGGGCCGCGGGUCCAGAACCUUCACGCCUACCAGUCCGGCCGCCUCAGCUACGACCAGCAGAAGCAGCAGCAGGCGGCGCUCCAGAGCCGGCACCACGCGCAGGAGACCCUCCAUUACCAAAACCUUGCCAAGUACCAGCACUACGGGCAGCAGGGCCCGGGCUACUGCCAGCCGGACGCGGCCGUCAGGACUCCGGAGCAGUAUUACCAGACCUUCAGCCCCAGCUCCGGCCACUCGCCCGCGCGCUCCGUGGGCCGCUCGCCCUCCUACAGCUCCACCCCGUCGCCGCUGAUGCCCAACCUAGAGAACUUCCCCUACAACCAGCAGCCGCUCGGCACCGGCGCCUUCCCCGCGGGCAUCACGGACCACAGCCACUUCAUGCCCCUGCUCAACCCCUCCCCGACCGAUGCCGCCGGCUCGGUGGACAGCCAGGCGGGCAACGGCAAGCCGCCGCCGAAGGACAAGCUGCCCGAGAACCUGCUGUCGGACCUCAGCCUGCAGAGCCUCACGGCCCUGACGUCCCAGGUGGAGAACAUCUCCAACACGGUGCAGCAACUGCUGCUGUCCAAGGCCGCCGUGCCGCAGAAGAAGGGCGCCAAGAACCUGGCGUCCAGGACGCCGGAGCAGCACCGGAGUCAGCACUGCAGCCCCGAGGGCAGCGGCUACUCGGCCGAGGCGGCCGGCACGCCGCUGUCCGAGCCGCCGAGCAGCACGCCGCAGUCCACGCACGCUGAGCCGCCCGACGCCGACUACCUGAGCGGCUCCGAGGACCCGCUGGAGCGCAGCUUCCUCUACUGCAGCCAGGCCCGCGGCAGCCCCGCCAGGGUGCACGGCAACUCCAAGGCCAAGCCCGAGUCGGUGUCCACCUGCUCGGUGACCUCGCCCGACGACAUGUCCACCAAGUCCGACGACUCCUUCCAGAGCCUGCAUGGCAGCCUGCCGCUCGACAGCUUCUCCAAGUUUGUGGCGGCCGAGCGGGACUGCCCGCGGCUCCUGCUCAGCGCCCUGGCGCAGGAGGACCUGGCCUCCGAGAUCCUCGGGCUGCAGGAGGCCAUCGGCGAGAAGGCCGAGAAGGCCUGGGCCGAGGCGCCUGGCCCGGCCAAGGAUGUCAGCAAGCCUCCCUUCUCGCUGGAGAAUCACAGCGCCUGCCUGGACGCCGUGGCCAAGAACGCGUGGCCGCGGCCGGGGGAGCCGGAGGCCCUGCCCGAGGCCCUGCAGCUCGACAAGGGUGGCGGUGCCAAGGACUUCAGCCCGGGGCUCUUCGAAGACCCUUCCGUGGGCUUCGCCGCCCCGGACCCCAAGAAGACGGCCGGUCCCCUCGCCUUUAGCCCCAAGACCACGCUCGGGGCCGUCACGCCGGACCCUGCCGCGGCAGCCUUCGACUGCUUCCCGGACACGACCAGCGCCAGCUCGGCAGAUGGCGCCAACCCCUUCGCCUGGCCCGAGGAAAACCUGGGCGAUGCUUGUCCCCGCUGGGGCCUGCACCCCGGCGAGCUCACCAAGGGCCUGGAGCAGGGCGGGAAGGCCUCCGACGGCGUGGGCAAGGAGAAUGCCCAUGAGGCUUCGGGCUGCCCGGGCUUCCAGGAGGGGGAGCCGCCCGGGGACAAGGCCGCCGGGCCUCGGGACUCGGCGCAGGAGGCGGCGGGCGGGGUGAAGGAGGAGGUGGGCGGGCUGCUGCAGUGCCCCGAGGUGGGCAAGGCCGACCGCUGGCUGGAGGACAGCCGGCACUGCUGCUCCGCCGCGGACUUCGGGGACCUGCCCCUGCUACCACCGCCCGGCAGGAAAGAGGACCUGGAGGCGGAGGAGGAGUACUCCUCCCUGUGCGAGCUCCUGGGCAGCCCCGAGCAGAGGCCCGGCCUGCCGGACCCGCUGUCGCCGAAGGCCCCCCUGCUGUGCACCAAGGAGGAGGUGGAAGAGGUGCUGGACACCAAGACCGGCUGGGGCUCCCCGUGCCACCUGUCCGGCGACUCCGUCAUCUUGCUGGGCCCCACCGUGGGCGCCGAGUCGAAGGUCCAGAGCUGGUUUGAGUCCUCCCUGUCCCACAUGAAGCCGGGCGAAGGAGGCCCCGACGGGGUGCUGGCGCCCGGGGACUCCGCCACGCUGGCCCCAGAUGCCUCCCUGGCGCAGAAGCCCAACAAGCCGGCCGUGCCCGAGGCGCCCAUCGCUAAGAAGGAGCCCGUGCCCCGCGGCAAAAGCUUACGGAGCCGGCGGGUGCACCGGGGGCUGCCGGAGGCUGAGGACUCCCCGUGCCGGGCGCCCGUGCUGCCCAAGGACCUCUUGCUCCCCGAAUCCUGCACUGGGCCGCCGCAGGGACAGAUGGAAGGAGCGGGAGCCCCAGGCCGGGGGGCCUCGGAAGGGCUCCCCAGGAUGUGCACGCGCUCCUUCACGGCCCUGAGCGAGCCCCGCACACCUGGACCCCCAGGCCUGACCACCACCCCCGCCCCCCCGGACAAACUGGGGGGCAAGCAGCGAGCCGCCUUCAAGUCCGGCAAGCGGGUGGGCAAGCCGUCCCCCAAGGCAGCCUCCAGCCCCAGUAACCCGGCCGCCCUGCCCGUGGCCUCGGACAGCAGCCCCAUGGGCUCCAAGACCAAGGAGACAGACUCGCCCGGCACCCCGGGCAAGGACCAGCGCUCUAUGAUCCUGCGGUCCCGCACGAAAACCCAGGAGGCGUUCCACUCCAAGAGGCGGCGGCCCUCGGAGAGCCGCCUCCCCAACUGCCGCGCUGCCAAGAAGCUGCUGGCCAACAACCACCUGCCUGCCUCGUUCAAGGUCUCCGGCAGCCCCCAGAAGGAGGGCAGGGCCAGCCAGCGGGCCCGGGUCCCCAAGCCGGGCGCAGGCAGCAAGCUCUCUGACCGGCCCCUCCACGCGCUCAAGAGGAAGUCGGCCUUCCUGGCGCCAGUCCCCACCAAGAAGCGGAACCUGGUUCUACGGAGCGGCAGUGGGGGCGACGUGAAGGAGGAGGGAGCCGAGGACCCCUCCACCCUCUUCAAGAGGAUGUCUUCGCCCAAGAAGGCCAAGCCGGCCAAGGGCAACGGCGGCGAGCCCGCCGUGAAGCCCCCGCCCCCGGAGACCCCUGACGCCUGCCUGAAGCUCGCCUCGCGGGCGGCCUUCCAGGGGGCCAUGAAGACCAAGGUGCUUCCGCCCCGGAAAGGCAGGGGCCUGAAGCUGGAGGCCAUCGUGCAGAAGAUCACCUCGCCCAGCCUGAAGAAGUUUGCGUGCAAGGCGCCGGGGGCCCCUCCCGGUAACCCUCUGAGCCCCUCUCUCCCUGAGAAGGACCGUGGGCUCAAGAGUGCGGGCGGCAGCCCAGUUGGGGCAGGAGAAGGUCUCUUAAAUGUGGGCCCUGGGCAGAAGCUCCCGGCAGCUCCGGGGGCCGACCCGUUAUGCAGAAAUCCGACCAACAGAUCCUUAAAAGGCAAACUCCUAAACAGUAAGAAACUGUCCUCAACUGACUGUUUCAAAACUGAGGCCUUCACGUCCCCCGAGGCCCUGCUGCCUGGGGGGACUGCCCUGGCACCUAAGAAGAGAAGCCGGAAAGGCAGGGCUGGAGCCCUCGGACUCCCCAAAGGUCCCUUGGAGAAGCGGCCCCAUCUAGGCCCGGCUCUGCUCCUGACCCCCCGAGACAGGGCCAAUGGCACUCAGGGGGGCAGUGAGGACAGCUCUGGUGGAGGAGGCAAGAAGCCAAAGACGGAGGAGCUGGGCCUGGCCUCCCAGUCCCCUGAGGGCCGGCCCUGCCAGGCCCAGACGAGGGCGCAGAAGCAGCCGGGCCACGCCAACUACAGCAGCUAUUCCAAGCGAAAGCGCCUCACCCGGGGCCGGGCCAAGAACACCACCUCCUCACCCUGUAAGGGGCGUGCCAAGCGGCGGCGGCAGCAGCAGGUGCUGCCCCUGGAUCCCGCCGAGCCUGAAAUCCGCCUCAAGUACAUUUCCUCGUGCAAGCGGCUUCGGGCAGACAGCCGCACCCCGGCCUUCUCGCCCUUUGUGCGGGUGGAGAAGCGAGACGCGUUCACCACCAUAUGCACUGUGGUCAACUCCCCUGGGGAGGAGCCCAAGCCCCACAGGAAGCCUUCCUCCUCCGCCUCCUCUUCCUCAUCCUCAUGCUCAUUCUCCUUGGAUGCGACUGGGGCCUCCUUGGCCACGCUCCCUGGAGGCUCUGUCCUGCAGCCACGGCCCUCCCUGCCCCUCUCCUCCACCAUGCAUCUGGGGCCCGUGGUCUCCAAGGCCCUGAGUACCUCUUGCCUUGUUUGCUGCCUCUGCCAAAACCCGGCCAACUUCAAGGACCUCGGGGACCUCUGUGGGCCCUACUACCCCGAACACUGCCUCCCCAAAAAGAAGCCAAAACUCAAGGAGAAGGUGCGGCCGGAGGGCACCUGCGAGGAGGUCUCGCUGCCCCUCGAGAGAACACUCAAAGACCUCGAGUGCGCAGGCGCUGUUGCCACUGGCAAGCCCCCGAGGCCCGAGGGCCCGGCCGACCCCGGCAAGCAGGGCUCGCUACGCACCAGCGCCCGGGGCCUGUCCCGGCGGCUGCAGAGCUGUUACUGCUGUGACAGUCGGGGGGACGGUGGCGAGGAGGCGGCCCCAGCUGACAAGAGCCGCAAGCAUGAGUGCAGCAAGGAGCCACCGGCCGAGCCUGGCGGGGACACCCAGGAACACUGGGUGCACGAGGCCUGCGCCGUGUGGACGGGCGGGGUCUACCUGGUAGCCGGGAAACUCUUUGGGCUGCAGGAGGCCAUGAAGGUGGCCGUGGACAUGACCUGUUCCAGCUGCCAGGAAGCCGGGGCCACCAUCGGGUGCUGCCACAAAGGAUGUACCCACACCUACCAUUACCCAUGUGCCACCGAUGCGGAGGGAAGAGGACACACGGAGGAUCUCCCCCCAGACGCUGGCCCCAAAGUGCAGAAACUCAGGGGCACUUUGCAGCCUGAGUUUACAGCUUCUGGCCGGGGCUGGUCGGAAAAAAAGGGGAGCCAGCUGCAGGCCUGGAGCCUUCCCAACCCUGCUCUCGGGCCUGCGGAUCUGCCCUUGCCUCCCCGCCCUGCCUACCAGCCACCAUGCUGUCGCGAUGCCACGGCACGAGCCACAGCGUGAGCAGGAGGAAUGUGCUGGAAGGAGAGGACUUGCUUGGUCAGCUCAGGCCUCCGGCUAUUUAUGGGUUUGGGGUUUGUUCAGAACCAUGGCCGUGGGGCAUGGGAGGGAGGGGGGUGAGCCCAGAAGGGGACUGGGUGUUGUGGACGGGGACUCCUGGGGGAGAAGCCAGGGCAUCCGUAGGUGACAGCGGGCCGCGGAGUGAGGACUUGCUGAGAUGCCAGUGAACCCCUGGGCUGAGGCGGGCAGCAGGAACCAGCCAUGCUCAGCCAUCCUCUGUCCCCCAAGGGUGGCCAGUGCUGUGGGCACCCAAAUACCUGCUGGGAUUCACCCAGAUCCAAGACCUCAGUCUUCCCUCUGCCCCCAGACUCAGGUCUGCGUCGCCUUCGAGGCCCCCCACAAGGACAAGCCCAUAUCCUAAGUGCCUGCUCUGAGCCACGCACGUGCAGGUGGCUUAUAUUCAUUGCCCUCAUCAGUCCCCAUGAUAGAGACAGACACAGUAGGUGGCAUAAGGCCCAUUUCACAGAUGUGGACACCGAGGCUCAAAGAAGCAGCUGAUUCUUGAAUCCAGACCUGGGACCGCACCGCCCAGUCCAUCAGCCCGCUCGGUCUCAAGGCCUUCUAGGGGCUGGGCAUGCAUCCAGGGAAGAGGGCAAAGCGGGCACACGGAGCUGGCCUUCCAGUGGGGCAGAGACCAUGAGCAAGUCCACGGUAUUUAGACCACUAGGAGGAAGUGACGAGUGUGGCCAAGUGAAAUGAGGCAGGGGCAGGGGAGAGACGGGCAUAGGGGGUCUGCUGCAGCUAGGGAGUCAGGGACGUCCUCCCGAGUGACAAGAAGGCCUUCCAGGUGGGGGGAAGAACAGGAACACACGGGCCAGGAGGGCUGGAGGCAGAUGGAGGCCAGUUCAGCCGGGAUGGGGUUUAGACCCUGGAGAAUCUCAAGCAGGGUCUGCUCUACUUUGUGCAAAGAAGCCCUGUAGCCUAGGGUCUCCGGGGCGCUAGGUCCCCCUCCCCGCCUGGCCCCCUGACGAGACACCAGCAGCCAUCCUAACCACCCACACUUCUUUUUGGUGGCAGGUUGCAUAUUCAUCGAAGAGAACUUUUCUUUGAAGUGUCCCAAACAUAAGAGGCUGCCGUUGUAAUCCACCCCAGCGGCCGGAGAAGCCGCCGAAGCCCGCCUGCCCGCCCGCCGCCGAAGGAGAGGAGCCGCCUGCGCAGCCCCCGGGCCUUUGAGCUGCUCCCCGCGCGGGUCCAGAGCCGAUCCUUGAUCCGGACUCCGGAUCUUGGAUCUGGCCGCCUAGGGCUGAAACUUGCGAUCCCGGGUUGGGAAGAAAACACGUUCCGGAGCCGCCUGCUCCCGGAACAGGAGGACACAGGACGUUCCCGCCUACACCCCCCAGGGCCAGGCUUGGAGAGGGGGAGCCCGCGGAGCGGCCAGACUCCCUGGGGCACCCAGGCUCCGGCGGGGAUUGGAGACGCCUUUAGCCUGGGGACACGCUUCUCCCCCUGGUAGUUCCAAGAGGACGUGGCACACAUUCGACGUGGGUGCUGCCGCCACCGCAGCCGGCGUGGCUUGCAGCUGGGGGCCCUGGGGGUGGGGGUGGGGGUCCAAAGGGCCCUGGAAGUGGCCAGGGCGGCUCCAGGCUCCGAGGCGGGGGGCUGGGGGGGGGAGAGGGAGCCGAAGCCUUGCUGGAGAGGACUAGGCCGGCGGGGUAGGAGGCCGGAGGCUUUGGAAGGAACCUUUCGAAUCGUGUCCUAGUGCCCUUCCCACCCACCCAGCCUCGGCCGACACUUUCGAGCGGUUUGGGCAGAGCCGGGGGAGUCCGGGACCCAUGCUCAGGGGAUGCGGGCUCCCCGGGUGUGGGCGGGACUGGCCCCCGCCCUUUGGCCUCCGUCGUCCCCUUUCCAGUCCUCCGCCCCACCCCUGGAGCGCCACCUGGGAAGGCAAAGGAAGGGAGUGGCGACCAGAGCGCACCUCCGGUGGAUGCGUGACCGUCCCUCUGCACGACCACCCAGUCUCCAGGGACAGCAGCGCCCACCCGGCACGGGAGCAGAGACAGCGCUAGAUUCGUGUACAAACCUGUGUACCCCUCUAUAUAUAUGUUACAUAGAAUGUAUAUAUGUUGGGAACAUGCUCGCUUCUCCCGUGUGUCGCCGCCGCCGUGCGUCGUGCGUCCCUCAGCACGGGGCCCUUUCCGGGAAGGGGGCUACGGCGAUGCCCGCCCUCCCCGCGCAGCCACCACCGGCCCAAGCCAGUCCCCGCCAGUCCGUCCGCCUGUCCGUCUGUGUCCUCAGCUCUGUCCACGCUUCGAUAGGCCUGACGCAGCCCCCAGACUGGGGCCGCCCUAGCAACUUCCUGUACAUAUGACUGUAAAAUGGUAAACGUGUGUAUUAUAUCUGGCCUCGUUAUAUAGUGUAUAUAUAUGUAUACAUAUACAUAUAUAUAAUAUAUAUGAAGACUGUAAAUGUUAAGACGACUAGUGUUCUUAUUAGUAUAUUGCUUCACACUGAAGAUUGUGUGUAUCGAGCUGUUUCUAAAAGAUGUUUAUUUUCCUUAAGAGUAAAAAACAGUCAUUGCAUUCAGAAAAAAAAAAAGUCAAUAAAGAUACAACGAUUGUUUUGGAA